RNAcentral lists this non-coding RNA (309 nucleotides) under Lachnospiraceae bacterium. Its description in RNAcentral is "T-box sequence". It matches the Rfam family "T-box leader". From Rfam's summary of the family: Uncharged tRNA acts as the effector for transcription antitermination of genes in the T-box leader family. T-boxes are found upstream of many aminoacyl-tRNA synthetase genes and some amino acid biosynthetic genes usually in Gram-positive bacteria. The record is from RNAcentral. Lineage: Bacteria; Bacillati; Bacillota; Clostridia; Lachnospirales; Lachnospiraceae.
ACAACAGCUAUGACAGGAAAUAGUAGGUACUGCGGAUCAUCAGAGAGAAGGCGGCUGGUGCGAGCCUUUGUGAAAGAGAUACUGAACCGGUCCUGGAGCUGUGGCCUGAACGAACCGCGUUUUAGUAGGCGUCACCGGGAUUCUCCCGUUACAGAGAUACAGUAUCGGCAUUUCUGUGCCCGUACUGAUGAGCGCGGAAUUAAGGAACUGCGGAAAAAUACAGAAACCAUCCUUCGCAAUCUGAACCAUUCUACAGUUCUUCAUCCGAAUUUAGGUGGUACCGCGGACGCGUGAUCGUCCGCCCUAAGC